Molecule: unclassified non-coding RNA, 271 nt
Filed under: uncultured fungus
Lineage: Eukaryota; Fungi
Description: partial contains small subunit ribosomal RNA, internal transcribed spacer 1, and 5.8S ribosomal RNA
Rfam family: Eukaryotic small subunit ribosomal RNA (bases 1-73)
Source: RNAcentral
ACAAACUUGGUCAUUUAGAGGAAGUAAAAGUCGUAACAAGGUCUUCGUAGGUGAACCUGCGAAGGGAUCAUUACCGAGUGAGGGCCCCCGGCCCGACCUCCAACCCUUUGUCGAACUCCCGUGUUGCCUCGGGGGCGACCCGGCCCUGGCCGCCGGGACCCCCGAUGGACCCCAUCAAAACUCUUUGCGUACAUGCGUCGGAGUAUGAAGUAAAUCAAUCAAAACUUUCAACAACGGAUCUCUUGGUUCUGGCAUCGAUGAAGAACGCAGC